AUGCACGCUGGCGGCGUGCCUAAUACCUGCAAGUCGAGCGAACAGACGAGGAGCUUGCUCCUCUGACGUUAGCGGCGGACGGGUGAGUAACACGUGGAUAACCUACCUAUAAGACUGGGAUAACUUCGGGAAACCGGAGCUAAUACCGGAUAAUAUAUUGAACCGCAUGGUUCAAUAGUGAAAGACGGUUUUGCUGUCACUUAUAGAUGGAUCCGCGCCGCAUUAGCUAGUUGGUAAGGUAACGGCUUACCAAGGCGACGAUGCGUAGCCGACCUGAGAGGGUGAUCGGCCACACUGGAACUGAGACACGGUCCAGACUCCUACGGGAGGCAGCAGUAGGGAAUCUUCCGCAAUGGGCGAAAGCCUGACGGAGCAACGCCGCGUGAGUGAUGAAGGUCUUCGGAUCGUAAAACUCUGUUAUUAGGGAAGAACAAAUGUGUAAGUAACUAUGCACGUCUUGACGGUACCGAAUCAGAAAGCCACGGCUAACUACGU
RNAcentral lists this ribosomal RNA (495 nucleotides) under uncultured bacterium. RNAcentral describes it as "partial 16S ribosomal RNA". It matches the Rfam family "Bacterial small subunit ribosomal RNA", at positions 29 to 506 of the family's 1533-position model. The record is from RNAcentral.